Molecule: ribosomal RNA, 440 nt
Filed under: uncultured bacterium
Lineage: Bacteria
Description: partial 16S ribosomal RNA
Rfam family: Bacterial small subunit ribosomal RNA
Source: RNAcentral
CUACGGGCGGCUCCGGUGAGGAAUAUUGCACAAUGGGGGGAACCCUGAUGCAGCAACGCCGCGUGGAGGAUGACGCAUUUCGGUGUGUAAACUCCUUUUAUAUGUCAAGAAAAUGACGGUAGCAUAUGAAUAAGCACCGGCUAACUCCGUGCCAGCAGCCGCGGUAAUACGGAGGGUGCAAGCGUUACUCGGAAUCACCUGGGCGUAAAGGACGCGUAGGCGGGUUGGAAAGUCAGGUGUGAAAUCCUACAGCUUAACUGUAGAACUGCACUUGAAACUUCUAAUCUAGAGUAUGGGAGGGGGGGAUGGAAUUAGUGGUGUAGGGGUAAAAUCCGUAGAUAUCACUAGGAAUACCUAAAGCGAAGGCGAUCUCCUGGAACAUUACUGACGCUAAGGCGUGAAAGCGUGGGGAGCAAACAGGAUUAGAUACCCUCGUAGUC